This 853-nucleotide long non-coding RNA is filed under the name Sorghum bicolor (sorghum). Its description in RNAcentral is "long non-coding RNA (SBIC_LNC010844)". Lineage: Eukaryota; Viridiplantae; Streptophyta; Magnoliopsida; Poales; Poaceae. The record is from RNAcentral.
UGCAUUUUAUAAACAUGAAAACAAAAUAAAAAGAAUGUGUAGAUAAGUGUGCUUUAUUUUCUUGCUAAGUUUAAUCUCUAGAAAAAUAAAAAGACCAAAAAGAUGCAUAAUGGAAAUGAUGAACAGUUGUUCUGUUUGUUUACUUUCAAGUACCUAGCUUUUAUAUUAGAGUUCUUCCAGGAAUUACUAAAACUGAAAUUACUAUCUAUGGGAAACAUAAAAUUAAAGUCUAGGUAAGAGGAAGGCAUGAUAUAAAGAUUAAGCUACUGUUUAUCUUGUUCCUACUACACUAAGAUUCUGGAGAUUUAUUUUGAAAACUUACAAAGCACAUGAUGAGUUUUUAGCAUAACAAACUACCUACCAUACCCAUACUUGCUAUAAUAUCUUUUACUUAUAUUCACAUUGAGUUUGAUCGAGCUGUGUAGACCCUUAGGAGCUUUUCACGUGGUUAAAUUAAGAUAUUCACUUGCACACAUGUACUACACCAUCCAUCACCAUUCAUUAAAAUUGCAAAAAAUAUUAUCACUCACUGUCCCAAAUAUUGUUAUUCUCUCUCUAAAAAGAUUCAAUGCAGAAGAGGCAUGGGUUAUGCAAAAAUAAGCGAGGAAAUAAAAAGGGGCAAGUGCCCGAAACCUCGAUAAAGAAAGAAAAAGAGUGAGACGAGAGGUAAAAAUGGACAAGUGUCCGAAGUAGAAUUAGGAGAACAAAGAUGCCCACUUGAGCGGAAAAAAUGGACAAGUGUCCGACAGUAGAAUUAGGGGUAUCUACUACCCACCUGAAAAAAAAAGAGAGAGAAAAGAAAAAGAUAGCCCAUGUUCUCCCAAAGCAAAGAUCAAAGAAGAGGAGAGAUAGC